RNAcentral lists this long non-coding RNA (560 nucleotides) under Pandoravirus quercus. Its description in RNAcentral is "hypothetical ncRNA". The record is from RNAcentral.
AGUGUCGCUAAAGGUGAGAUCGGUAUAGUAGAUCGAGCGCUCGGCGUCGCGGUCGCGCGGCCCGCGCACAAUCUCGCACCACCACGAACCGCUGCGUCCGCGCUCGGCGCUGCGCAAGAGCAGGCGGUCGCCCUCGGUCGACGGCACCACGUCGAAUGGGUCCCACCAGAGACCGCGUGUUUCGCACGACAGCACGCGCGCGUCGAGAUCGAUGACGCACCACGCCGCGCUCGCCCGGCUGUCGCCGCCGCGUGCCGUUGCCGGACCUCCUCGUACGCCGUCGUCGUGCGCGAUGGCAAUGGCGCGCGGCACGGCCACCAUCGGUUGCCACAGGGCCGCCAGUUCGUCGAGCAUGGUCAUCGGCGUCGUCAUCGUUGUUGUCGUGGGCAACAUUGUCGCCGCGCCUGAUGCGGUGCGCGCCGGUGUGUCAGUGAGCCCGACGGCUCUGGCGAUGCGCUCCAUGACGGUCGAGAUGGCCUUCAUCGCAGGCACACUGGCGACCUGUUUUUUUUGUGAAUUCAACAGAAAUGCGAAAAACACGAGACAAUAAGACGUCUGUG